Molecule: small nucleolar RNA, 117 nt
Filed under: Agaricus bisporus var. burnettii JB137-S8
Lineage: Eukaryota; Fungi; Basidiomycota; Agaricomycetes; Agaricales; Agaricaceae
Description: A. fumigatus snoRNA Afu_304
Rfam family: A. fumigatus snoRNA Afu_304
Source: Rfam by way of RNAcentral
UUGCACGAUGAAAAAGAGCAUCUGCUCGAAUAACCCAGCUCUUUGAGAAGGGAGUAACGCCCCAGAUUCUUUGAAAACAUUUAUUGUCCUUCUGAUAUUCCAUAUCUGCCUUGUUCC